UACGUAGGGGGCGAGCGUUGUCCGGAUUUAUUGGGCGUAAAGAGCGUGUAGGCGGCCAGGUAGGUCUGCUGUGAAAACUCGAGGCUCAACCUCGAGAUGUCGGCGGAAACCAUCUGGCUAGAGUCCGGAAGAGGAAAGUGGAAUUCCUGGUGUAGCGGUGAAAUGCGCAGAUAUCAGGAAGAACACCCGUGGCGAAGGCGGCUUUCUGGGACGGUACUGACGCUGAGACGCGAAAGCGUGGGGAGCGAACAGG
Molecule: ribosomal RNA, 253 nt
Filed under: uncultured bacterium
Lineage: Bacteria
Description: partial 16S ribosomal RNA
Rfam family: Bacterial small subunit ribosomal RNA
Source: RNAcentral